RNAcentral lists this ribosomal RNA (333 nucleotides) under uncultured eukaryote. RNAcentral's name for it is "SSU rRNA". It matches the Rfam family "Eukaryotic small subunit ribosomal RNA", at positions 587 to 972 of the family's 1831-position model. The record is from RNAcentral.
AGCUCCAAUAGCGUAUAUUAAAGUUGUUGUGGUUAAAAAGCUCGUAGUUGGAUCUCGGCGGACAGAAGGCAGGCGGGUGCUCUUCGCCGAGUGUCCGUCUGUGCUGGCAGGUUUACUUUGAAAAAAUUAGAGUGCUCAAAGCAAGCUCUUACGCUUGAAUAUUCGUGCAUGGAAUAAUAGAAUAGGAUGUCGUUUCUAUUUUGUUGGUUUUCGGAAAUCGACAUAAUGAUUAAUAGGGACAGUCGGGGGCAUUUGUAUUCAAACGACAGAGGUGAAAUUCUUGGACCGUUUGAAGACAAACUACUGCGAAAGCAUUUGCCAAGAAUGUUUUCA